AGAGUCUCACUGUACCGCCCUCGGGUAGAGUGCCGUGGCGUCACACGGCUCACAGCAACCUCUAACUCUUCGGCUUAUGCGAUUCUCUUGCCUCAGCCUCCCGAACAGCUGGGACUACAGGGAAAUUUUAUUUUCUUUCUUUUUUUUUUUUUUUUUUUUUUUUUUUUUUAUUGUUGGGGAUUCAUUGAGGGUACAAUAAGCCAGGUUACACUGAUUGCAAUUGUUAGGUAAAGUCCCUCUUGCAAUCGUGGGAAAUAUUAUUUUCUAAACGAAGUUUACUGUGGGUCUAUGCUGGUCUCUAGCCAUAAGUGGAGCCAGUGGCGUUUUCCUGUAAAUUUCCUUGUAAAUAAGUUCUGAGAAAAGACAUUGAAAUUGGAGAACAGCCCGUGCAGGUCUGGAAGGCCCUUAGGCUGUAAAUGCCUACCCUCGUGCCUGUGCUUGAAUUCACAGGGAGAUGGGUGUUUCCGGACGUGUAUCAGUGAACUGGGGGGAGACUGGAAAACAUGCUGCCAAUUCAAAAACGUUUAAAAAUGCACAUAGGUAGCUGCACAUGGAUGUCCUUUAGCUGCAGUUUUUUGAAAUACUCCUUUGUUGCCUCAGAGGUGUGCCAUGCAACAUUAUGGAAGAAAGAACGAAGACUGCAAGAAAACAGACGAACAGAAGCAAAUGAUGAAAAUGAAUAUUUUACUUGGUUUUACUAACUUCAUUAUAAAUGAUAUAGAAAAUAAAUGUAGGAAUGAAGAAAAUAAGAUUUCCUCAAGUCACUUAUUCAUCACUAGAGAAGAUACCUGUCCCUGGUCCAUACGUGGCAAUAAACUGUUCAAGCUGUCGUUGGCACUGAGUCAGGUAGAUAUCCCUUUGCUCUAAAUACUCUUCAUUAUACAAUUCAAAUGGAAAUACUGCAUUUGGAGCAACACAAAAUACAGCGGCUCCUAAAGAAGGAAACAGAAUGUAAGUGAGGAAUACUUAAAAUGCCAAAUGUGAGGGCAGCGCCUGUGGCUCAAGGAGUAGGGUGCCGGUCUCAUAUGCCGGAGGUGGUGGGUUCAAACCCAGCCCCGGCCAGAAAAAAAAAAAAAAAAAAGCCAAAUGUGAAAUCACUCUAUCAAACAAAAUAAUGAAAACGUAAAAAUUAAGUUCUGACUCAUUCAAUAGAGCAUGUCGAUAAUCAUCUAAAUCUGACACUUGUUCUUUUAAACUAAGGAAGCAGCUUUAGUUUGGUACCAACGGAAGAAGUAUUUUGAUGUCUACAUUUUAAAGCUUGGAAAUUGUAAAAAGCAUUAGUUUUGAAGCUGAAUAGUAAUGUUUAGAGGUGAAAAUAGUAGAAAAAGAAGGUAUUGGAAUAUGGGUAAAAAGAAUAAAUGAAUGAUCAAGGAUAAACACAUUGCAGUACAUUUCUCAGUUGUUAGAACCAUUCAUGGCAAGGUAAAUAUCUAAAUUUAUGGACUAGAAUAGCCCCUGAAUCUGGCAUAUAUCAAAUGAUUUUCAACAAGGGUAGUAAGAUCAUUCUAUGGGGAGAAAAAAACAGGAGUUGGAACCUGUUCAUGGAAAAAACAUGAAGUUGGACCCUUAGCUUACAUCAUAGCAAAAAUUAUCUCAAAAUGGAGCAUAGACCUA
Molecule: long non-coding RNA, 1614 nt
Organism: Nycticebus coucang (slow loris)
Lineage: Eukaryota; Metazoa; Chordata; Mammalia; Primates; Lorisidae
Exons: 4
Source: RefSeq, a predicted model, not a curated record